UGGGGAAUAUUGGACAAUGGGCGAAAGCCUGAUCCAGCCAUGCCGCGUGUGUGAAGAAGGCCUUCGGGUUGUAAAGUACUUUCAGCGGGGAGGAAGGUGUUGAGGUUAAUAACCUCAGCAAUUGACGUUACCCGCAGAAGAAGCACCGGCUAACUCCGUGCCAGCAGCCGCGGUAAUACGGAGGGUGCAAGCGUUAAUCGGAAUUACUGGGCGUAAAGCGCACGCAGGCGGUCUGUCAAGUCGGAUGUGAAAUCCCCGGGCUCAACCUGGGAACUGCAUUCGAAACUGGCAGGCUAGAGUCUUGUAGAGGGGGGUAGAAUUCCAGGUGUAGCGGUGAAAUGCGUAGAGAUCUGGAGGAAUACCGGUGGCGAAGGCGGCCCCCUGGACAAAGACUGACGCUCAGGUGCGAAAGCGUGGGGAGCAAACA
This 427-nucleotide ribosomal RNA is filed under the name uncultured bacterium. Its description in RNAcentral is "partial 16S ribosomal RNA". It matches the Rfam family "Bacterial small subunit ribosomal RNA", at positions 355 to 774 of the family's 1533-position model. The record is from RNAcentral.